RNAcentral lists this ribosomal RNA (235 nucleotides) under uncultured Lactobacillus sp. Its description in RNAcentral is "partial 16S ribosomal RNA". It matches the Rfam family "Bacterial small subunit ribosomal RNA", at positions 127 to 355 of the family's 1533-position model. The record is from RNAcentral. Lineage: Bacteria; Bacillati; Bacillota; Bacilli; Lactobacillales; Lactobacillaceae.
UGCCCAAGAGAUCGGGAUAACACCUGGAAACAGAUGCUAAUACCGGAUAACAACAGAUGAUGCCUAUCAACUGUUUAAAAGAUGGUUCUGCUAUCACUCUUGGAUGGACCUGCGGUGCAUUAGCUAGUUGGUAGGGUAACGGCCUACCAAGGCGAUGAUGCAUAGCCGAGUUGAGAGACUGAUCGGCCACAUUGGGACUGAGACACGGCCCAAACUCCUACGGGAGGCAGCAGUA